CAAGCUCUCAAACACGUGCGGAAGGCCCGUUUGAAAGACGAAGCCGCCAUUCAACUUUUUUUCUUUUCCCCUCCUCCCUUUCUUCAUUUCCGGACAUCAAUUCCUUGAAACACUGCAGGGCUCGGGAAAGAGUUCGCAAGAGCCAAUUACCACACCUGGGUUUUCAAACAGAGGAAAGUGGACGUUUCACAUGGAAAGGCUUUCUUGAUACAAUCCUUUUAUUCCCCCUCUCUGUCCAGAAGGGGAAUGAUUUUAUACUGAGACAGGGGAGGUUUAGGUUGGAUAUUAGGAAGAAGUUUUUCACACAGAGGGCGGUGACGCACUGAACAGGUUGCCCAAGGAGGCUGUGGAUGCCCCAUCCCUGCAGGCAUUCAAGGCCAGGCUGGAUGUGGCUCUGGGGAGCCUGGUCUGCUGGUUGGCGACCCUGCACACAGCAGGGGGGUUGAAACUCAAUCAUCAUUGUGGUCGUCUUCAACUCAGGCCAUUCUAUGGCUCUAUGAUUCUCAGCUGAUCAUUCAGGGGCAAUGCCUAAAGCCAGGUGGAACCUUGGCCCUACUUGAAGCUGUAGGCAGGUGUAGACCUCCCUGUUUUAAACACAGAGGUCAGUUUUUCUGCUUAGGGCUCUUGUAAAGGCUGAGUGAACGCUGCCAGGUACCAGAACAAGGACUGUAUAUCAUGAGAUGAUUCUAAGUAUUUGCAAGUUGUUGCACUUGUUGCGAUUUAAAGGGUUUUGGCGGUGGUUGUUGUAGCUCAGAACAUGCACCAUCCUCCUAUCCCUGCAAACAGUAUUGGACUUGCAAGAUGCAAUGACAAGUGUGUAAAGAUAACCAGCCAAGAGGAAAACAUGAAUUUAUCUUCAAUACAAAAGACCCAGCACCUUUAGAAAUAAUAAUAUAAUAAUAAACAACUAGGGGCUUUUCAUCCCUUCAUCUCCUGCAUUAGAAAUUCACAUCACACACAUCAGGACCUGCUGCUAAGUGCCAUAGGUUGCAUCCAGAAGACACCACCACUCAUUUUCCUGCCCAGCAGCACACACAGAGCGGGGCCAACAGCAUCAGAACAGACCUGGCCAUACUUGACAUGCUUGAUGCAUGCAGGGCAUACGGGCUCGAGGAACACAAGCACACAGGGAUGCUGAGAAGCCACUACUGACUGCAUUAUGAAGAGGUGCUGACAGCCCCAGAGCUGCUGGGUGUGCAGGGCAGGGACAAAGAGAGCACCCAGAACACAAUGCACCAGCAUCGCGAUCCAGCGCUCAUGGUUACAAACCGUGAUACUCAAACUGUCCUGUUGCAAAGGCUGCAAGUUUUGGGAUGCCACCUUGGUUUCCAUCAACGUUUGUAUUAUAUUAGGACUUCCUUCCUUGAAAGGACAGAAGGUAGAACAUCCUUGCGAUAAAGGUGCCAGCAAGGGCUGCGGGCUGGAUGGUGGAUGGUGGCGGGGAGCCAGCAGCUCUAACAGCUUCCACAGAUCCCCUUCAGAAGAGCAUGCCACCUGCAGCAGACACUCAGUAGAAGCCACACCACAAGAAGGAAAAGCCUUUCAUUCCCACAUAACAAGCAAAGCUGCAGAAAGCACGGGACAAACAAGACCAUCACUGCAGGCUGCAGCGAUGCACAUUUUAGAUAUCUUUUGCUGACUGUAAUAACCCAUGCCCAGAAAGAUGCCGAUUUGGAAAUGCCAUAACACAAAGUUAGCAUUUGCAAUAAAAAUAUGACAGAGUACUUUUUCCUCACUGAGAAAAAUGUCCACUUGAAGCAAGCAUUUUUAUAUGACUAU
This is a long non-coding RNA of Gallus gallus (chicken), 1779 nucleotides long. Lineage: Eukaryota; Metazoa; Chordata; Aves; Galliformes; Phasianidae. The record is from Ensembl.